GACGAACCGUGCAAACGUUGUUCGGAAUCACUGGGCUUAAAGGGCGCGUAGGCGGGUGCUCAAGUCCGUGGUGAAAUCCUCCGGCUCAACCGGAGAACUGCCUCGGAUACUGGGUGCCUCGAGGGUGGUAGGGGUAUGCGGAACUAUCGGUGGAGCGGUGAAAUGCGUUGAUAUCGAUAGGAACUCCGGUGGCGAAGGCGGCAUACUGGACCACCUCUGACGCUGAGGCGCGAAAGCCAGGGGAGCAAACGGG
Molecule: ribosomal RNA, 253 nt
Filed under: uncultured bacterium
Lineage: Bacteria
Description: partial 16S ribosomal RNA
Rfam family: Bacterial small subunit ribosomal RNA
Source: RNAcentral